UGGCGGCAAUAGCGCGGCGGACCCACCUGAACCCAUGCCGAACUCAGAAGUGAAACGCCGUAGCGCCGAUGGUAGUGUGGGGUCUCCCCAUGCGAGAUUAGGACACUGCCAGGUA
RNAcentral lists this ribosomal RNA (115 nucleotides) under Yersinia enterocolitica. Lineage: Bacteria; Pseudomonadati; Pseudomonadota; Gammaproteobacteria; Enterobacterales; Yersiniaceae. The record is from RNAcentral.